UACGUAGGUGGCGAGCGUUGUCCGGAUUUACUGGGUGUAAAGGGUGCGUAGGCGGGUAAGCAAGUCAGAUGUGAAAUACCGGGGCUCAACUCCGGGGCUGCAUUUGAAACUGCAUAUCUUGAGUGCAGGAGAGGAAAGUGGAAUUCCUAGUGUAGCGGUGAAAUGCGUAGAGAUUAGGAGGAACACCAGUGGCGAAGGCGACUUUCUGGACUGUAACUGACGCUGAGGCACGAAAGUGUGGGGAGCGAACAGGAUUAGAUACCCUGGUAGUCCACACUGUAAACGAUGGAUACUAGGUGUAGGGGGUAUCGACCCCUUCUGUGCCGGAGUUAACACAAUAAGUAUCCCACCUGGGGAGUACGGCCGCAAGGUUGAA
This 376-nucleotide ribosomal RNA is filed under the name uncultured bacterium. RNAcentral describes it as "bacterial SSU rRNA". It matches the Rfam family "Bacterial small subunit ribosomal RNA", at positions 524 to 898 of the family's 1533-position model. The record is from RNAcentral.